UACGGAGGGGGCGAGCGUUAUUCGGAAUUAUUGGGCGUAAAGGGCGCGUAGGCGGCGCGAUAAGUCAAAGGUGAAAUCCCUCGGCUCAACUGAGGAACUGCCUUUGAGACUGUCGAGCUCGAGGCCGGGAGGGGGUAGCGGAAUUCCCAGUGUAGCGGUGAAAUACGUAGAUAUUGGGAGGAACACCAGUGGCGAAGGCGGCUACCUGGACCGGUUCUGACGCUGAUGCGCGAAAGCGUGGGUAGCAAACAGG
RNAcentral lists this ribosomal RNA (253 nucleotides) under uncultured bacterium. Its description in RNAcentral is "partial 16S ribosomal RNA". It matches the Rfam family "Bacterial small subunit ribosomal RNA", at positions 524 to 776 of the family's 1533-position model. The record is from RNAcentral.